CAAACUGGCUGGGAAGUUGCCUCAUUUGUUUCAGUACAAAGUCAAUAGCUUUCCAGGAUAAUUUUAAACAACACAAGCUGUUUUGCAUGAAAUGCACAAAGAAAAUUCACAUGUCUUUCAUCAUCGACAGCUCUGGGCAGAGUAUCUUUCACUAAAAUUGUGAUCACGUCCCAUCUGGUUAGUGGUAGCUGUUCUUGCAGCUGGUCUGAGUUGAGAUACAGGGGUGCAAAUGACAGGAAGAGGAGAAGACACAAAGACCUUGGACUGCUACAGAGGACAGUGGAGCUGUCUCUAAGUGUUACCUUCAAAAGGCUUGUGGUGCUCAAACCUGCAGCUGUCAUGUUCUUCUAGAAGUGGGCAGAUGGACUAGGAUUAAAGGAAUUCUCCUCCAGCCGGAUCAUCCUGAAGGAAUGAAAUACACUGUUCUGGAGGAAUACUGUCCUCCUUGGAAAUCCAAGACUUCAGAACAGCACAUUACAGAAAGAAACCAGUUUUGCUACAUAGAAAAAUUAAAAAAAGAAGCCAAA
This 527-nucleotide long non-coding RNA is filed under the name Chloebia gouldiae (Gouldian finch). RNAcentral describes it as "Erythrura gouldiae (Gouldian finch) lncRNA (ENSEGOG00005013209.1)". The record is from RNAcentral. Lineage: Eukaryota; Metazoa; Chordata; Aves; Passeriformes; Passeridae.